Molecule: ribosomal RNA, 495 nt
Filed under: uncultured bacterium
Lineage: Bacteria
Description: bacterial SSU rRNA
Rfam family: Bacterial small subunit ribosomal RNA
Source: RNAcentral
AGCGAACGCUGGCGGCAGGCUUAACACAUGCAAGUCGAACGGGCGUAGCAAUACGUCAGUGGCAGACGGGUGCGUAACGCGUACAGAACGUACCUCAGGGCGGGGGAUAGCGAUGGGAAACUGUCGGUAAUACCCCAUUGUAUUAUGGGUUGGCAUCAACCUGUAAUUAAAGUUACGGCGCCUUGAGAUCGCUGUGCGUCCGAUUAGCUAGUUGGCGGGGUAACGGCCCACCAAGGCGACGAUCGGUAGGGGGUGUGAGAGCAUGACCCCCCACACGGGUACUGAGACACGGACCCGACUCCUACGGGAGGCAGCAGUGAGGAAUAUUGGUCAAUGGGCGCAAGCCUGAACCAGCCAUCCCGCGUGCAGGAAGACGGCGCUAUGCGUUGUAAACUGCUUUUCCAGGGGGAGAAACUUGCGCACGUGUUGCGCAAUUGACGGUACCCUGGGAAUAAGCAUCGGCUAACUCCGUGCCAGCAGCCGCGGUAAUUCUCG